GAUGAACGCUGGCGGCGUGCCUAAUACAUGCAAGUCGAGCGAACGGACGAGAAGCUUGCUUCUCUGAUGUUAGCGUCGGACGGGUGAGUAACACGUGGAUAACCUACCUAUAAGACUGGGAUAACUUCGGGAAACCGGAGCUAAUACCGGAUAAUAUUUUGAACCGCAUGGUUCAAAAGUGAAAGACGGUCUUGCUGUCACUUAUAGAUGGAUCCGCGCUGCAUUAGCUAGUUGGUAAGGUAACGGCUUACCAAGGCAACGAUGCAUAGCCGACCUGAGAGGGUGAUCGGCCACACUGGAACUGAGACACGGUCCAGACUCCUACGGGAGGCAGCAGUAGGGAAUCUUCCGCAAUGGGCGAAAGCCUGACGGAGCAACGCCGCGUGAGUGAUGAAGGCCUUCGGAUCGUAAAACUCUGUUAUUAGGGAAGAACAUAUGUGUAAGUAACUGUGCACAUCUUGACGGUACCUAAUCAGAAAGCAACGGCUAACUACGUG
RNAcentral lists this ribosomal RNA (497 nucleotides) under uncultured bacterium. RNAcentral's name for it is "partial 16S ribosomal RNA". It matches the Rfam family "Bacterial small subunit ribosomal RNA", at positions 28 to 507 of the family's 1533-position model. The record is from RNAcentral.